UACAGAGGUCUCGAGCGUUGUUCGGAUUCAUUGGGCGUAAAGGGCGCGUAGGCUGCGGGGCAAGUCGGGUGUGAAAUCUCAGAGCUCAACUCUGAAACUGCAUUCGAUACUGCCGUGCUUGAGGACUGGAGAGGAGACUGGAAUUUACGGUGUAGCGGUGAAAUGCGUAGAUAUCGUAAGGAAGACCAGUGGCGAAGGCGGGUCUCUGGACAGUUCCUGACGCUGAGGCACGAAGGCCAGGGGAGCAAACGGG
Molecule: ribosomal RNA, 253 nt
Filed under: uncultured bacterium
Lineage: Bacteria
Description: partial 16S ribosomal RNA
Rfam family: Bacterial small subunit ribosomal RNA
Source: RNAcentral